Molecule: ribosomal RNA, 459 nt
Filed under: uncultured bacterium
Lineage: Bacteria
Description: partial 16S ribosomal RNA
Rfam family: Bacterial small subunit ribosomal RNA
Source: RNAcentral
CCUACGGGAGGCAGCAGUGAGGAAUAUUGGUCAAUGGGCGGGAGACUGAACCAGCCAAGCCGCGUGAGGGAGGAAGGUACAGAGUAUCGUAAACCUCUUUUGUCAGGGAACAAAGACUGGGACGCGUCCCCGGAUGAGUGUACCUGAAGAAAAAGCAUAGGCUAACUCCGUGCCAGCAGCCGCGGUAAUACGGAGGAUGCGAGCGUUAUCCGGAUUUGUUGGGUUAAAAGGGUGCGCAGGCGGUCUGUUAAGUCAGCGGUCAAAGCCCGGGGCUCACCCCCGGCCCGCCGUUGAGACUGGCAGUCUCGAGUUGGAGAGAAGUAUGCGGAAUGCGCGGUGUAGCGGUGAAAUGCAUAGAUAUCGCGCAGAACUCCGAUUGCGAAGGCAGCAUGCCGGCUCCACACUGACGCUGAGGCACGAAAGCGUGGGUAUCGAACAGGAUUAGAUACCCUAGUAGUC